This 218-nucleotide ribosomal RNA is filed under the name uncultured bacterium. RNAcentral's name for it is "partial 16S ribosomal RNA". It matches the Rfam family "Bacterial small subunit ribosomal RNA", at positions 132 to 334 of the family's 1533-position model. The record is from RNAcentral.
CAAAGAGGGGGACAACAGUUGGAAACGACUGCUAAUACCGCAUACGAUCUAAUCUCGGCAUCGAGGAUAGAUGAAAGGUGGCCUCUACAUGUAAGCUAUCACUGAAGGAGGGGAUUGCGUCUGAUUAGCUAGUUGGAGGGGUAACGGCCCACCAAGGCGAUGAUCAGUAGCCGGUCUGAGAGGAUGAACGGCCACAUUGGGACUGAGACACGGCCCAG